RNAcentral lists this ribosomal RNA (253 nucleotides) under uncultured bacterium. RNAcentral's name for it is "partial 16S ribosomal RNA". It matches the Rfam family "Bacterial small subunit ribosomal RNA", at positions 524 to 776 of the family's 1533-position model. The record is from RNAcentral.
UACGGGGGGGGCAAGCGUUGUUCGGAAUUACUGGGCGUAAAGCGUGCGCAGGCGGUCUUUUAAGUCAGAUGUGAAAUCCCCGGGCUUAACCUGGGAACUGCGUUUGAAACUGAAAGGCUAGAGUGUGGCAGAGGGGGGUGGAAUUCCACGUGUAGCAGUGAAAUGCGUAGAGAUGUGGAGGAACACCGAUGGCGAAGGCAGCCCCCUGGGCUAACACUGACGCUCAUGCACGAAAGCGUGGGGAGCAAACAGG